This 468-nucleotide ribosomal RNA is filed under the name uncultured bacterium. RNAcentral's name for it is "partial 16S ribosomal RNA". It matches the Rfam family "Bacterial small subunit ribosomal RNA", at positions 28 to 507 of the family's 1533-position model. The record is from RNAcentral.
GACGAACGCUGGCGGCGUGCUUAACACAUGCAAGUCGAACGGAAAGGCCCUGCUUUUGUGGGGUGCUCGAGUGGCGAACGGGUGAGUAACACGUGAGUAACCUGCCCUUGACUUUGGGAUAACUUCAGGAAACUGGGGCUAAUACCGGAUAGGAGCUCCUGCUGCAUGGUGGGGGUUGGAAAGUUUCGGCGGUUGGGGAUGGACUCGCGGCUUAUCAGCUUGUUGGUGGGGUAGUGGCUUACCAAGGCUUUGACGGGUAGCCGGCCUGAGAGGGUGACCGGCCACAUUGGGACUGAGAUACGGCCCAGACUCCUACGGGAUGCAGCAGUGGGGAAUAUUGCGAAAUGGGCGGAAGCCUGAUGCAGCAACGCCGCGUGCGGGAUGACGGCCUUCGGGUUGUAAACCGCUUUCGCCUGUGACGAAGCGGGAGUGACGGUAAUGGGUAAAGAAGCACCGGCUAACUACGUG